AGGGCACAGAUCCACAGAGACAUGGGGAAAGGUGGAAAUGGAGAGAGAUGCUGCUCCCUGCUCGUUUUCUCAAAAGGAUCAGGAGGGCGGAAUCCCUGAGCAUCCUGCUGUGGGCAAGGGCUGGAGCACCAGGACCCUGUGUCCUACAGGCAGCAUGGACAGUGCUGGGCUUCAGUGCAGCUAUGGCACCAACUGAGGACAGAUCUAAAGAGUGAAAACAAAAGAUAACCCAGCCCACGUGUUGGAACAUGGCUGGAUACCAUUGACUUGAGUGGAAUUUCACUUCAGCAGAGGUUUACUCCAGUCAUGGUACUAUAUUUGGAAAGAUAAACAUGAGUGUAUGCCUAUAUCCUGAAUGCAAGUUAAUCGAGUUAGAUAAGAUGAGAGAAAGUAAAUGGCCGUAAGUGAGAUAAUGAGUGAUUAAUGUACCCUGUGAACAACAAGAGCACUCUGAGUGACACACCAACUGCUCCCACCGAAGCCCAGUGAUGAAUAUAGCAAGAGGAAGAUGCGUUAUGUGUACAGUAUGUAAAAGGAUCUGCAAGGGAGUUAAGGAUGUUUACGCAGCCAUAAAGAGAACAGGUGCGAGUAUGACUCUGAAGAAUACCCAACAUCCUGUUUAUCAGGGGAAGUCUCAUGUUUUUUUUCAUGGAAAGAGUCACCUUUGUAUUUGCCCCUCUGGACCAAAGAAAUAGGGAGUAAUAGUAAAAAUAGCUGCAGUACCAAACCUUCUUCCUGAAAGCUGCUUUGCAUGGGGGGGUGGUUGAAAGGCUCAGCUUGUGCAGUCAGCUCCCGGUUGGGAGCCCUGCUUUAUCUUGAUGCGAUAGAAUGAUUUCCAUCUGCUUGGUUGGAGCAGAAACCCUCUCAAUUUCUGACAAUACUUGGCAUAGUGUUGACAUGAGAACUACAAUUUUCCAUUGUUGUUUUGACCCUCAGAUAACUUCUUUUAUGGACAAAAGGUUACUAGCUGCACGUCUUCUAUUUAAUGUAACUGGCAUUCUGCCACGUUGGCUUUUCUGCUUCAUUUUCAUUAGCAGAAGGAAACUGUGAGACAGUGGCUGCAUGCAGACAACUUCACUCCUUUCUAGUAUGGCUGUGCUGAGUGGCACUGAAGGGUGAUAACCUUGGCACUGGAGACAUCAACUGUAGAGUUAACUACAUCUUGGUGAUUUCCAGAUCCACAUUAGAGAUGGAAACUUUCUUUUGUUUUUUUCAGGUCAGUGAAAGCCAUUUAAUGCUCCCAAGAGUCAAAAAGCAUUUUUUCCAUCUUCUAUAUAAUGAAAAGCAAUAAAUAUUUUAUUAGGCCCUAUCAGGGCUGUAGCAACAGCAACACAGAGGCUGUGAUGCACGUGUGCAGCUUUGCAAAUUGUUUUAUUAACGAUGCUCAAAAUGGAAUAAAGCCACAUUCCCUUUAGCGCAAGAGAGUCUGGAGUGGAAACUCAGUGAGGGACAGACAGGGCUGACCAUCACAAUGGCCCCUGGUGUUGCAAGUGAUGGGGAGCCUGGUCAGGAGCAAGGGGUUACGGAGAGUGGGGGUGCAGGCUCUGGCUGUGGGGCCCAGGGCAGUGGGAGGGAAGAAAGAGUUGCAGCUGCUCAGUCACCCUUCUUGAGAAAGAAGGAGCAUGUUUGUGCAAUGGCUUUGCUAAAAAGAAAAUUUGCAGGUUUAAGUCAGAUCAGGCAUAGAGCAUUUACCAAAAAAUUUAAAAAUCAGGAAAAAAGAGUCAUAUUUUUUUUUUAGUUUUAGGCAUGUGUUACUGUUCACAUAUGGUGAACCUGAUAGCUUUUUUGCUGAAUAAUGGCAAUAAUAAAGUAUCUUUAAAAACAAAUGCACAUCUUUAUGUGUGCUGCAAAGCUAUUUAAACUGUAUUUACAAAAUGUAACCUCUGACUGAACUUUGAAAUGUCUGCUUCUAGAAAUAUAAGCCAAAAACCUUUUUAUAGCACCAUACUGACAAGGAUAACUUAUGUAUUUCACAGUAUAGAAAAUCCUGGAGGCAGCGUUAUUUUUAGCUGUGUAACCUUUAAGCGUAUUCAUCUAUAUACUAGUAAAUUAGUUUUUAACAGGUGUAUGACUUAAUAUAGCAAGACGAUGAAUUACAGAUGUGGGUAAUGUCUGUCCAAAUUGCUUUUUUCCUGGCUCUAAAUUAUUCAUCUGGAAUGGCCAGAAGCCAGCUAUGGGAAUUAUUGAUAAAAGUGAGUUAAGAAUAGAUUAGAACAUUUCCCUUGUGAAGUAUAAUGUGUCUCUGUUGACUGCAUUAUUUUCCAUCUUCCAUUAAGCGCUACAAACCAGACUUUUUUAACCCAAUUUUAAACUAUUCAUGUUCUAUUUAAAUUCUAUUUUUAUAAAUGCUUGAGUUCCUUGUUUACAGUGUGAGGGAUGUUCUUUUAAAGGAAAUAACAUUGUUGUAAGCAACAAGACAAACAUUUCAGCAUUUUGCUUAGGGUUAGUUUUUCCGGAAAAGUAAAACUGUGUCUUGCCGGUGGCUGAGCUUGGUGGCUGAAAUGUGCAAUACCCAUUAAUUUUAGUUGGUGGUGCAAGUGCAGUCAGUAUUCUCUUGUGAGUAUAAAAGUUUUAGACCAGCUGUGGUUUUGUACAGUUUUUUGUUCUCUUUUUUCACUAUUGCUUUUUAUUUUUAAUAAAUCCAGGUUCCUAAGAAGAUUAAAAGAGUCUUUGGCCUGUGCCAAAAUAUGAAAGGAUGGAUUUACAUAUGGGAAUUCAUAGUGAAAAAGCACAGUUCAUUCUAAAACAUAAAAUAAAUGAGGUUUUCAUCUACAGGAUGUGCAAGAAAGCUUUAAUAACUCUGAAAAAUAAAUGAAGACUGUACAGUGGUGUAAUAAAUGUGAAGUGACUAUGCUCAUAAGGACUUCUAUUGUAAUGCAGUGAAAUUGAAUGCUUUGUUGCAUCUGCUAUUGAUUUGGCCUCCCACCUGCCAUAGAGAGGUUAUAACUGAAAUUAAGAAAACAGGCUAGAAAGGUUAAAAAAAAUUCAGUAAUGAGGAAACAAAAAGACAUAGAAACACUGAGUUGUGGUGAACAGCUGUAAGGAAGGAGUGCUCAAAACAGUAAUAUUGAAUAAUUCUGGUGUUCUGCACUAUAAGUGUGGAGAAAGGACAGCGGCGAUAAGGAGAUACGCACCAGUGGUUAAAGAUUCAGCUCUUAACUCUGACCUUGUCUUCUUGCGUCAUUAGCAUAUAUUUUCUUAGUUGUUUUUCUCCAGUGUGUAAUGAAUAUAAUUCUUUCUCUUACAUAUAUUGUUAUAUUGUCAGAAUUAUUUAUUUCAACAAAUGCUUUUUUUUCUUUUCAGUCCUGAGAUGGAUGUUAUCUGUUGUGUACUACAUUUUCAUGUGUCUUUUAACUGUAAGAUAACUGUAAAACAGACUGCAGGUCAUCACCUGUACUGGUAACACAAGAGUCAGUGUCAUCCUAAGCAUCUUCCCUGGCGACUUCCCUGCCUCUGAUCUUUCUCCAACUCCAGAUUUCUGAGCUAUUGGAUAUGGUGGGUAACUUGAUAAUGUGAGUAAAGAAAGUUUGUCUUUAGUUGUGUGGAGGUUAUCUGAGGUGCAAGUUGCAAGUUGCACACAUGAAGAUACUGUAUUUACAAUGUCCAACCUUCUUAUUUUCUUCUCUCCUGUCUUUGAAUUUGUGUGUAACUGGGACAACUGGGAAUACCAUAAUGGUGUGAACUGUGGUGGUGCCUCUCAAUGAAAUGUCAUUGACAUUGCAGUCAUUAUUCAAAUGGUCUUCUCCUAGAAAAGGAGAUUUGGUAAGAAAUAGCAAAUGAGGUCUUUGUGGGAAAUGGAAGCUGAAUGACAAAAUUAUCUAACAUACAUAACAUUGGUAGAGGCUGUGCAAUAAAUUAUCAGAGUUAGCAAAGUAUAGUCACAGAAACAGAAGAAAAUUGGAAGUAGAAGAUAGCUCCUGUGCUAUUUAAAACCAAUGCUGUCUCUCAGAAGAUUCUUUUUCUAUCUGUUAGUGUGCUAACUUAUAUAUCACAUCAUUAGACAUAUGCAGGUUUUUAAGGUUACUGUUGUUAUUCCACCAAGUCUCAUUACUUCUUAUAUUCCCUUGUUAUUCUUCAUGCUCCAGCCAAGAUAUAUCUUGAUGGCCAGGAUGAAAUUUUUGAGGUAUUCGGCGUUGUUUACCAUGGCAGCCUGGCCAAUGCAGCAGCUUGUUUUGCUGAUUUUUCUUCUUCCCUGCUCUACCUCUUCCUUCCUUUGCCCUUUGCUUGCUUUUUGCUAUGCAAUCCUGCCCCCUCCCUGAACCAGAUCUGAACCAUAACUGAGUUAAUUUAUCUUUCUAACAUAAGAUAAACCAUAUUACACUUUUUUUUUUUUUCCUGGAUCAUUUUCUGCUAGUUCAAUGAGGUAAAAGGGAAGGGCCUGACAAGUGCCCGAGCAGAUCCUGGGCAAGCUGGCUGAAAGCAGGGGAUGGCUGGAAAAUCACAGUCUGUGCAGGAGGGAUUUUUCCAGAAUGCCACGAGAGUCAAGUCUUACGGCAUCACAUCUGUUUGUACUUGUUCUGCUGACAGGCUAUAGAGGAACUGUAGGUCUGUACACUUGGCCUAAACACACCAGUCUGGCAAAAAUUUCGGGUUUAGAGAGUACAUGUCAGAAGAAAUGCAUCCAGAACUGUGGCGCAAGCCCAAUGUGGCACAAUGGGAAAUACUUGCCUGGUUAACCUUGGCACUGUCAUUUCCUUUCUCCUUGUACAAAAAGUUUUCUCUUCCUGGACUUGUUUUUCCCUGAACCAUUUUAGUCUUCCCUCAUGGAAAUUAUGCAAAUGUCAGUGUGCGCACAAAAAAAAAUCUGACAAUGGCACAAAAAGUACAGGACUAAAAUAGGUUUUGCUAAAAAAUAAAAAAAAAAAAAAAAAAGGAUCAUUCUAUGUAGCAAUGGGAGACCUCAUUUCCUUGUUAUAUAAAAAAUGAACUAUGAAUUUUAAGGAAAGUCAGGGUGCACAAAUUUUGUGACAAGGAUGAAGUAAAAAACCAAACUAUCAGAUCUGAAAGUGAAUUCGUUUGCUGCUCCGCAUCUUUAACAACUGAAAGAGUUCUGCUCGUGUUUCAAAACAAUCUGACCUUCUCAUAGGGGCCAGGCGUGAAGCUUUUUGCCAAAGGUGAAUGGUUUGGAAAACUCUGAGCAUGUGUGAAAAGGGAAACAGUGGAAACUAUUCUGUGUUUGGAGCACGCUUGUGUGGUGGAAAGCAGCGAUGUACAAAUGUCAGCCUCUUACUAAAUAGGUCCAUGUCCUACGUGUGUGACCAGCUUCAGCUUCUUCCCUGUUUCAUGUCCCGCAUGUGGGUUGCUACAAUCACUGCAGUCACUGUAUAGGUGUUGGUGUUUUAGUUGCUUAGCACUUCAUGCUGUCCCAGCCCUGGCCACAAGUGAGUUGCUCUGCAGUGAGGGGAAGGCUGCAGUUCCUCAGUUCAAAGAACACCUAGAUGGAGAUAGCACAAACACAACCCAGAAAUUUAGGCACAGACGGGCAUUUUCUUUGCAGGCUUUUCUCUGCAGAUCUUCUCCUGCUUCAUUCUUCCAGGUGUUUGCAAUGCCACCAGUGCCAGCAGUGUCCCUGUGUGUGCAGUGCCACCAGUCCCAGCAGUGUCCCUGUUGGAGGCACCUGCAGAAAGCUGGGGCUCUGCAGUACAGAGCUGGGAAGCGUGGUAGAGGCCACCCUGCCCUGUGAAAUGUAGCUGUCCUUUUGCCAGGGUCUGAUAGAGAAGGAUCAGGUUUGUCUUUCCUGAAUGUCACUCCAAAACUUCCCAGAAAGGAAGCACUGAGGCCCAUAAUGCCACUAAAGUCAAUAUAGUUUCUCUUAGUGUUUUACUGAUAGCUUGGGGUCCUAAAUUGUGACAGGAGCCACCCACAAAUGUCUAAUUUGACAUAAAUACAUGUAUUACACAUUGCUACAUUUAUACUUCAGCUUUCCAUCAAAUUUCAAGCUUGUUUGAGAACUCCUGAGGUGUAAAAGGCAGGCAUAAAUGACCUGAAAAUGAGUGUUGUUUGUCUGACAGGGGAAGUUAAUAAUGUUAGUCUUUGAGGGAGCUACAGUAAGAAACAUAAAUAGGAGCAGAACACUGUGUUCCUUGGUUGGUGUCUUGCACUAAUCCUGACACGUGAGCAAUCUACCAACACAAAUAACGUUAUCAGAUCAAAAUCUCCAGCCAAUAAUAAAUCACUCCUGGCAUUAGCAAGGCUCUUGCUGUGCAACAAUGUGACCUCUAGUCAGGAAGAGAUUCUAUAUAUUUUGUCAGAAAUGCUUGCCUUUGGUAAGAAGCAAGUUGCACCAGUAGUUGGGAGAUGUGCGGCACAAGUUGGAAAAAACAGGAGAGAUGUGGAAAGGUGUAAAUUGAUGCAGAAUAUGUAUUGAUGAGGUUAUCUUCCAGCUACCCAGAACAGCUGCAGAGGCCAGUAGCCAUUUACAAAACACAGGAGAAGUGAGUGGACAGCAAAUGCUGGGCGACAUAUGUGUUAUAGCUCACAGUUGGAUGUUAUUGAUUACAAAUGGCUCACUUAGCUUAUGCUGACAAAGGUGAACCUUCCCAAAGAUGUGUAAUACCUGAAAAAAUGAUUAUAGGUAGAUAAUGAAACUUGCUUUCAAAGUUAUUGGCAUUUCCAUCUACAGAAAAAAUUGUCUUUUCAUCAUAAAAACUAUUUGAGAGUAACACUCAGUGUAGAAACCCCAGUAUAAAAUAUGAGACUAAUUUGCCCCUUUGAAGUGAGCUGGAUGUGGAAGAGCAAAGUUCAGUACUCUUUUACUUACAGUCAUCUCGGUGGCAGUGGGUGUUCAUUGUAACCGAGUGCCUACAUGCUGUCAGCAUCCAUCAGUGCAUUGCAGAUAGAUCCCAAACCAGGAGCUCUAGGGUUUUCUUGUUUCUUCCUCUGCAUUUUCCAAGCCUUUGUACUCCUAAUCACAGACUGUAUCAAGUGUCACAAUGGGUGAAAAAAAGCAUUAGCAAGAACAUCAAGACACACUAUUUCUACUGGAAAAAUAAGAAGUGUUUGGUUCAAAAUUAUUGGCUAGGCUUAAACUCUUUUGAAGUCAAUAGUGAGAGCCUACUGACCCUACUGCAAGAUGAGCUAUUUCAAGAGAGCAGCACAAACAUUCAGAGCUACUUAGCUAGAAGGAGCAGACUAUCUCAAAACCAAGACAAACACCACAUUAAAUGCACAUAUUUAUUGCUUGUGUACUAAGCAGAAAAAGAAGGGUAUACAGCACACCAGGAGAGAGCAACAAGAGAGAUAAGGUAACUUCUGUUUUACACCAUGAAAUUGCAUCAGACAACACAGUGUAUCUAUUUGUGAAUAGUGUAAAUGAACCAUGAAGAAGUAAAUAUGAAGGGAUCUGUGCUGUUAGAUAUACAGCUGAUGGUAGAGGACAUUCUCUGUACUGUCUGCACAGUACAAGAGGAGGAAGGAAGGGAAGGUUGCAUGAAAGCAGUACCAAGCAGUCAGGAUUUCCUGCCCCAAAAUUUCUGGUGAAUGUCCCAGAACAGUGUGUGUUACACAAGUAGAUAUUGCAUCAGUGUAUAAAUUUUACGUAUAUGUUUGUGUCAAAAGAACAUGAUCAUGGGUGUGAAAUUGGGCAUGCAAAAGAAAUGCUUGAAUUAUAGUUGCUUGUAAAAUUUUUCUUAGUCCUCCCUGAGUAUAUGCAUCAAGAUAUAGUAAUUAAAUUUAGAAUACAAUAACUGCUUUGAUUUCCAAAGACACUUUAAAUGCAUGCAGUUGUCCUAAUUUGACACAGCUGCAGCCAGCUCGUACCCUCAUCUCUGUGCAGAUCGUUCACAGGUAGAUGACAUACAAAAUCUGCAUGGAACUGGUAUUUUUUUGUGCCCUUCUGCAUUCUCUAGUUUCUGUACUGCUUUGCCAUUGCACAGUAUGUCUAUAAACAUAACCCACAGUCACCUUUUGUACUUUCUAAUUUUCUCCCUAAACAAGCAUGGUCUGAUCUGGACUUUGCAGUAAUCUCCAAUGUACAAGCAAUCUAUCUCCAGUGAUGCAGAAAAGGAGUCACAACCUCUGUCAGUGAUCCGGGCUUGCGGGCAGGAGGAGGUGCGGGGCUUCACCUUAUAUUUGAAGGCAAAUAUGCAAAACUUUGCACAGAACAAGGGUACUCAGUUAUUCACCUAACACAUGCAGAAAUGUUCUGUGGCUGCAGAGAGGUGUCAGAGCCAGAGUAUGCAAAACAGAACCUGGGUAGAAGAUGGCUGCAGAACCCUGCAGUAGAAGAUGGCCGGUGAUGGAAACACCUUCCUACCUUCCCCCCCAUACAGUGGCUUGCAGCACUGCUCUCUAUCCGUGGGGCUCACAGGCACAAACUCAAACUCUUGUCUCACUUUGAAAUUUAUCCAUGAGCCAGCUCCUCUGCAGAGCCCACUGGCAGCAGCAAAGAACAAACUGGCAUUGGGGACCUCACUUCAUAGAGUUUUGAUAAACUGUCUCAGAGAUUUGUAGGUGACACAAGCAGUUUCUCUGAAAGAGUAAUCAAAAGUCCUCGAAGUGUUUAAGGAAAAUAUGGCAAAAAUUUAAGUCUUGUAUUAGAAAAGUUGUUUGUAUCAUUCCUCAGAGAAUUUAUUUAUAAAUAAUGUUGUCUUACGCUAAUAUCUUGUUCACCCAGUUGUAUCCCAUCUUCUUUCUGGCUCUUGAAAUGUUUAGAUAGAAAAUACAAAUAUAUCUCCUUAUGCUUACUUA
Long non-coding RNA from Columba livia (rock pigeon), 8688 nucleotides. RefSeq lists it as uncharacterized. The record is from RefSeq and is a predicted model, not a curated record. The transcript has 2 exons. NCBI's taxonomy places the organism in Eukaryota, Metazoa, Chordata, Aves, Columbiformes, Columbidae.